RNAcentral lists this small RNA (144 nucleotides) under Bacillus gaemokensis. RNAcentral describes it as "c-di-AMP sequence". It matches the Rfam family "c-di-AMP riboswitch aptamer (ydaO/yuaA leader)". Rfam says of the family: This family represents a conserved RNA structure found upstream of the ydaO and yuaA genes in Bacillus subtilis and related genes in other bacteria. The record is from RNAcentral. Lineage: Bacteria; Bacillati; Bacillota; Bacilli; Caryophanales; Bacillaceae.
AUUUCUAAAUCGCUGAAACCUUAUGGUACGGGGGAACCGUUUUGUGGAUUGAUACAUAAUCCAAGGGGUGAAUCCUUACAAGGUAGGGCUACUCAAAGGCCCGAAUCCGACAGCUAACCUCGUAAGCGUUUUAUGAGAAGGAAG